UCACCAAGCCUAUAACCGGUGCGGGCCGUGAGAGCGGGAGCCCGGAGAUGGGCACUGAGACAAGGGCCCAGGUCCUACGGGGCGCAGCAGUCGCGAAACCUUUGCAAUACACGAAAGUGUGACAGGGUCAUCCCGAGUGCCGACCGCUGAGGUUGGCUUUUACCCAGUCUAGAAAGCUGGGGGAAUAAGGAGAGGGCAAGUCUGGUGUCAGCCGCCGCGGUAAUACCAGCUCUCCGAGUGGUGUGGACGUUUAUUGGGCCUAAAGCAUCCGUAGCUGGCUGAACAAGUCCCCUGUUAAACCCACCGAUUUAAUCGUUGGCGUGCGGGGGAUACUGCUCGGCUAGGGGACGAGAGAGGCAGACGGUAUUCCCGGGGUAGGGGUGAAAUCCUAUAAUCCCGAGAAGACCACCAGUGGCGAAGGCUGUCUGCUAGAACGCGCCCGACGGUGAGGGAUGAAAGCUGGGGGAGCGAACCGGAUUAGAUACCCGGGUAGUCCCAGCUGUAAACGAUGCAGACUAGGUGUUUGGACGGCCACGUGCCGUUCUAGUGCCGCAGGGAAGCUGUUAAGUCUGCCGCCUGGGGAGUACGAUCGCAAGAUUGAAACUUAAAGGAAUUGGCGGGGGAGCACAAGGGCGAAUCGCGCCGCUUUG
This 650-nucleotide ribosomal RNA is filed under the name uncultured archaeon. Its description in RNAcentral is "bacterial SSU rRNA". It matches the Rfam family "Archaeal small subunit ribosomal RNA", at positions 249 to 905 of the family's 1478-position model. The record is from RNAcentral.